GGAGCUGCCAUAUUGCCAAAUUUUUGUGCUGACAAGGUGGCUGCAUCGGUGCCGGCAGUUUCAUCAAAGCCAUGAGUUCAGAAGCGGCCCGAUUUUCCACUGAACUAUUGAUUUCACUUGUGCGGCAGGAGCCGGCACUGUGGAAUCAGCGCUCGGCAACGUACAGAAAUGCAGACGCACGUGCGGAUGCCUGGAGACGAGUCGUCAGCACGCUAGGCCUUGCUUUGACAGAUGAAAAUGUGAAGCUUGCGUAUAAUAGAUGGCGCAAUUUGAGGGACACAUUCUCCAGGAAACUACGAGAGCUGAAGAAAAAGAGCGGAGCCGGGUGGUCCUCCUCUUCUUGAAGGACGUCACCGAGCCACGUCCCACAAGCAGUAACCUGGACGAAGAGAGCGGAGAUGCCACCGACGAUGCAGCAGUGGUGUUUGCAUCAAUGUUGCCCCCUCGGUGUGCCAGUGCUCAGAGCGAAAGUAAUUAUUGCUCUGACAUACGAGACCACACCAUACCCGCUUCUCCCACUUUAGAUGACAGUAACUUUUUCUUUCGACCUAUUUCUGCUCCCCUUCUUCCCACCCUUUCCACACAACCGUCCACCUCAACACCUGUCCUGUCUACCCCUUUAACGCCCAUCCCACUAUGUCACACGCGACGCACAACACAAACAAAGAAAACAAACAAAAGAAAACAAGCAGCCAGCUUGCUGGAUAAAGUUGAUGAGGAAUUUAAAAACGAGAAAGAAAACAGAACAGAGCAAUUUUUACUUUUGCUGGCAGAGCACAUGGACAAGGUGCUUGAACACCUCAGGGGGCAAUGCACCUACUUGAAGUGCUAAUGCACUAAGAAGUAGGACAAGUGCCAACUGUAUUGUCGACGAUCCAAGGGCCGGCUGAAGCAAGCCAACAGUAAUGAGUGCUGCCAGAAGUAUUGUAAAUAAAUUUUUUUGAUUUUUUUU
Molecule: long non-coding RNA, 952 nt
Organism: Rhipicephalus microplus (southern cattle tick)
Lineage: Eukaryota; Metazoa; Arthropoda; Arachnida; Ixodida; Ixodidae
Source: RefSeq, a predicted model, not a curated record